ACCCCUGUGUAGAUAUGCCAUGCAUGUCUAAGUAUAAGCAAUUUAUACAGUGAAACUGCGAAUGGCUCAUUAAAUCAGUUAUCGUUUAUUUGAUAGUACCUUUACUACUUGGAUAACCGUGGUAAUUCUAGAGCUAAUACAUGCUAAAAAUCCCGACUGUUUGGAAGGGAUGUAUUUAUUAGAUAAAAAAUCAAUGCUCUUUGAGCUCUUUGAUGAUUCAUAAUAACUUUUCGAAUCGCAUGGCCUUGUGCUGGCGAUGGUUCAUUCAAAUUUCUGCCCUAUCAACUUUCGAUGGUAGGAUAGUGGCCUACCAUGGUUUCAACGGGUAACGGGGAAUAAGGGUUCGAUUCCGGAGAGGGAGCCUGAGAAACGGCUACCACAUCCAAGGAAGGCAGCAGGCGCGCAAAUUACCCAAUCCCGACACGGGGAGGUAGUGACAAUACAUAACGAUACAGGGCCCUUUCGGGUCUUGUAAUUGGAAUGAGUACAAUGUAAAUACCUUAACGAGGAACAAUUGGAGGGCAAGUCUGGUGCCAGCAGCCGCGGUAAUUCCAGCUCCAAUAGCGUAUAUUAAAGUUGUUGCAGUUAAAAAGCUCGUAGUUGAACUUUGGGCUUGGUUGGCCGGUCCGCCUUUUUGGCGAGUACUGGACCCAACCGAGCCUUUCCUUCUGGCUAACCAUUCGCCCUUGUGGUGUUUGGCGAACCAGGACUUUUACUUUGAAAAAAUUAGAGUGUUCAAAGCAGGCCUUUGCUCGAAUAUAUUAGCAUGAAAUAAUAGAAUAGGACGUUAUGGUUCUAUUUUGUUGGUUUCUAGGACCAUCGUAAUGAUUAAUAGGGACGGUCGGGGGCAUCAGUAUUCAGUUGUCAGAGGUGAAAUUCUUAGAUUUACUGAAGACUAACUACUGCGAAAGCAUUUGCCAAAGGACGUUUUCAUUAAUCAAGAACGAAAGUUAGGGGAUCGAAGAUGAUCAGAUACCGUCGUAGUCUUACCAUAAACUAUGCCGACUAGGGAUCGGUGUUGUUCUUUUUUUGACGCACUCGCACUUACGAGAAUCAAAGUCUUUGGUCUGGGGGGAGUAUGUCGCAGCUGAAACUAAUGAAUGACGAGGCACCACCAGAUGGAGCCUGCGCUAGUGAAUUACACGAACUACAGUUCGACCUAUAAGGAUUGGACCAGGAAUGUGGAAGAC
This 1190-nucleotide ribosomal RNA is filed under the name Meyerozyma guilliermondii. Its description in RNAcentral is "SSU rRNA". It matches the Rfam family "Eukaryotic small subunit ribosomal RNA", at positions 28 to 1539 of the family's 1831-position model. The record is from RNAcentral. Lineage: Eukaryota; Fungi; Ascomycota; Pichiomycetes; Serinales; Debaryomycetaceae.